UUUGAAGUCUGAACCUCUCCGAGCUCGAGAUACUCUUAGGCAGCAGUUUGCCUUCAAAGUCGCCUCCCUGGCUGUGCUUGCCACCUCUUGUGAUUUAGCACUGCAGCUCGCAUUUCUUCCACAGCUAGUCAUGAGGUUUACUUGCUAAAAUCUCAUCUUCUCCUCUUAAUUAGGCAUUUUCAUGCAAUGAACCAUAUGGAAGUCAAUGCAAAAGGUGUUGAUGUGCAGCAUGGAUGCUGAUUGAUAAAGCUGGCAGAUGGGGAGAUCAUCGGCUUUGAAGACUGUGAAGUUUCCUCUGGAACUAAAUAAAUAAGCUAUGGAAACCCUCAGUUCAAGGCUCUUGCAGCUCGUACGUAAACGCAAUAGGUAGCCAGGCAGCUGCUUGGAAAGUGCUCGCGAGGAGCCUGUCCACUGGGAUUCUGGAGCAGAAGACACACUUUGGUCUUAGAGGGGUGCCAAUUCAGCGAGGCCAGAUUCUGUCACCUUUACUUCCAGCAAGGCAUUUGUCCCACGGACCUCCACAGCUCCUGGAAGAAAUAAAGCUCUGCAAAGCAGAUCCUGGCUGGCCAGGACUCAGUUCCUCUGUCUGGCUCUUUUACCGAGGGAGAGGC
This 611-nucleotide long non-coding RNA is filed under the name Anas platyrhynchos platyrhynchos (common mallard). RNAcentral describes it as "lncRNA (ENSAPLG00000031108.1)". The record is from RNAcentral. Lineage: Eukaryota; Metazoa; Chordata; Aves; Anseriformes; Anatidae.